UUUAAGCAACGCCACAGAGAAUAGGAAAAAUAAAUUCCUAUAUAAGCAUGCAUAUUAAAAGUAGUAGAAAAAUAAAUUCUACCUACUCCCCCUCAAUAUAUGCAUAAACAUUCACUCCCCCUCAAAACAUGCAUAUCACAUAAAACAUGCUAUACUCCCCCUCAAAACAUGCAUAUCACAUAAAACAUGCUAUACUAGAUGCUAUAGCAUUUUUCAUCACAUCAUGCACGCAAGCACUUUUACUCCCCCUUUUUAGCCAUAAAUUCUGACAAAUAAAGUCAGUACCACACAGUAGGAGCAGAACUUCCACAGAGUUAUCAGAUCAUAGAGAAACAUAGAGUGCAGAGAGAAUCAGAGCAUAGGAACUCAUAAAGUGCAUAUGACAGACCAUCGGGGCAUAGAAAACCUGGAGUAUCGGAGCCAAAAGACAUGGAUUGUACGUGUUACAACCC
This 452-nucleotide long non-coding RNA is filed under the name Trifolium pratense (red clover). RNAcentral describes it as "long non-coding RNA (TPRA_LNC011204)". The record is from RNAcentral. Lineage: Eukaryota; Viridiplantae; Streptophyta; Magnoliopsida; Fabales; Fabaceae.